UGCACGCACAUUGUGCCUCCUAUGGUAUGAGC
RNAcentral lists this non-coding RNA (32 nucleotides) under Rattus norvegicus (Norway rat). Lineage: Eukaryota; Metazoa; Chordata; Mammalia; Rodentia; Muridae. The record is from RNAcentral.